RNAcentral lists this long non-coding RNA (17697 nucleotides) under Citrus maxima (pomelo). RNAcentral's name for it is "long non-coding RNA (CMAX_LNC004244)". The record is from RNAcentral. Lineage: Eukaryota; Viridiplantae; Streptophyta; Magnoliopsida; Sapindales; Rutaceae.
GUAGCUUGACCGCCUUACCCGUCAUUGAAACACAAGCUGGAGAUGUAUCGGCUUAUAUUCCUACAAAUGUUAUUUCAAUUACUGACGGACAAAUUUGUUUGGAAACAGAGCUCUUUUAUCGCGGAAUUAGACCCGCUAUUAACGUCGGCUUAUCUGUCAGUCGCGUUGGCUCUGCCGCUCAGUUGAAAGCUAUGAAAAAAGUCUGCGGUAGUUUAAAACUGGAGUUGGCACAAUAUCGCGAAGUGGCCCGCCUUUGCUCAAUUUGGGUCAGACCUUGAUGCUGCGACUCAGGCAUUACUCAAUAGAGGUGCAAGGCUUACAGAAGUACUGAAACAGCCGCAAUAUGCGCCGCUUCCAAUUUCAAAACAAAUUCUAGUACUUAUGCAGCUGUUAAUGGGUUCUGUGAUCGAAUGCCACUAGAAAAAAUUGCACAAUAUGAGAAAGCCAUUCUAAGUAGUAUAACCCCGGAUUUACUACAAGCACUUUUAGGGGGGUUAACUAACGAAAGAAAGAUGGAAUUAGAAGCUUUCUUAAAAGAAAGCGCUUUGCCUUACCUAUGAUGUAAGGCAGGUCGCUCGCGACUGACAAUCAAAUUUCCCUUUCUUCUUUAGUCUUCUAAUUAUGGUAUGGAUCUUGGUUCGUGCUUUUCACAUCCAAAUAGGUCUCGAUCUUUGGUUUGGUACCGGUAGUAGCAUCAAAGAGCUUUCCCUUCCCCAGCGGAUUAAUCACAUCGUGCAAUUGCGCGGCUCGGAGCUUCUAAUCAAAUAUUUCUAUUUUUCCUUUGAAUUACUCAUAAAUCCAUUUCUUUAGAUAUGGCGGAAACAAUCGCACACUGUAUCGAGUUUUUCACAAAAGACGACAGAGUUUUUUAUUUCACAAUGACCUUUCUUUUUCUCCAGGGGCUCUUCCUCAUCUAUCUCUUUCUAGCCCUGUUUGUCCAUCGAAAAGAUAGAAGGGCACUCGAAAGGAUUGCUAUAUCUAAGGGGGUGGGGGUUCUAUUCAAAUAUUCCUGGAGAGGGGUUGAACUCAAGAUCAGCCCCCCUACUGACCGUUCUAAGGAACUCCGACUCCGGGAAACCCGCCACCGUCCCGCCCUUAGGAGAUUGAGCAGGUAAGGUGAGGUAAGCAAAGUGACGAUCAGAAGUCAAUUUAAAGUCCAUGUAGGUGUGGGCCAGACCGGUGUCCAUCCCGACCACGGAUGUUGGGCUUCAACUUCCCUUUGGCCUUUAGUAUAGAAAAAGGUGCUUGAAUUGAAAGCUUCGUACUAUUUUAAAAACGGACUAACUUAGCCAUGAAUUUCUCAUCCAAGGUCAAGCCCUUACAUAAUAGUCAGUGGGGAAUCGGUAGCCUUUUCUGCAACUCUGAAGAAAUGAGUAAUGCUUCCUGGAAUGAAGAGGAGUGGAUCGGGAAUCUAACCCAGCGAAGAAAACGCCUACUUAUAAGUCAGGCACACUAGCGCACCAAACAAGAAAAACGGCUGGAUUGACUGGCUACUUGACCGGGCGAGCCAGCAUAUAGUGCAAAGCACCUUUUGUCCAGUUCAAGCAAAGGAGGACAGAGAGAACUCCAUAGAUCCCUCCUAGGUCAACGGGCAACGGGCUUUGACUUCGUUGAGCUUCAAAAGCAUUCCCGCUCCUUUGCAAUCCAAUCCCGGAACUACGGCUCAAAGGAUCGUGCAGUGGAUGUGUCGGGUUCGAAAGUCUAUCCUCCUCCUCCUGCGUUGGAAUUGUGUGUUCGUCUCUGCCUGUUCAAAAGAGCGACAAUCAAUGGUCUUAAAGUAAAGGAGCACCUAUCUGCCUGACUUGAAAACAAUCCACGCUCCUCCGAUGAAUGAUUGUUUGUUCUUGCUUGUUGCUUGAUUACCGGAGGACCAACGCUGGAAGGCGUUGUCACUGCGACUUGGUGCCUACUAUGCUCUUCACGGAAAGGAGUGAAACGAGCAAGGAGAGAGUCAACCUUAAUGUCAGUGAUAAUAGUAAAGUAAAGGAAGAGACAGAAUCUCAUCUGCUUGGCUGGUCGACACAAGCAAUGCCCAAAGAGCAUUCUUUUCUAUUUUCAUGCUUCAUAAGUACUGUAUCCGCUGGAUUGAAACAGCCUCUUUUUUUUGUGCCUGACCUAAUCCUCUAGCUCUUUACUUGCCAGGGGAAGGAAAGCAAUUCCAACAACUGAAACUAGCUCGUCAAGUAUAGGAUAGGAUGCAGGGGCUGAAAGGGAAAGACCACUUGAUGCAAGUAUCGAAAUCGAACUAGGAAAUCAUUUAUGGAGAAUAAAGCAUCUUAUGGUAAAAAAGCUUUUAUAGGCAUCCUUCUUAUAUAAGGCAAAGCAUGAAUCAAUUAUGUCAGCCCUCCUUGGCCUUCACUUACAGGAUUUCCUCUUCAUUACCAUGCUAAAGUACCGAGAAAGACUUUCCGCUCACUUCCUUUCAUUUGUGAUUUCCUUUACCGACACAUGCUCAAUAUUGGGUAGCGCUUCUUAUCUGGGAAUCCAUUCACACUUCAAGCUUAAACUAAUAAAGAAAUGGCACGGCUGAAUGCUAGAAUCUUAGUCGAUGGAAGUUAGAUUCACUAAUUCACUAAAUUAAUAUUCGUUCAAUUUCAAUCAUAACUGUAAAACUCUUUGUUCUCAUAACAAAGAGCUAGAGCUAGUAUAGGGCUAGUCACUUUCACUAGAUAUGGUCUUGCUCUCAGCCCUUUUCCUAGAGAUCUGGGAUGGAGUGUCGAACUCAGAUACAUAUACAGAGGGGAUUGAUUCAAAGUGUCUAGGUACCAAGAGUCAAUGAAAGAGAGGGGCUGGGGGCCCUGCUGUGGUAGAACCUGGUAUGUCCUGGAUGCCCUACCAGGGAAUCCUGGUGAACCGGGCGUACUACUUUCCAAUCUGCAAGCACCCUUGCUUCUCUUAUGAAAUUGAUAGUUAGAGGCGUGAUCUAUUAUAUAUAUUUAUAUAUACGAUGAUAGCACCAAAAGGGCGGAGACUUUGACAAUGGAUAGUUGACCAUUGCCGGUUAUUCUAGCAAGAGCGUCUGUGGCUAAAAGACUUGCAGCCGAUUCAUCUAUUAGUUAUUCUCUGGCAGAACAUUCUCUUUAAGCCCUAAUACUGAUCCUAUUGCCUUUACUCCUACUGCCCUACCACCAAGACCGGUAAGACCAACAACAGCGGAUUCCAUAGCAUCAGCGAGAGAGAGAAUUCCUAUUGAGUUAGCUUUCCUGGGGAAGAGGAUAUUCUAUAAAGGCUAUACCACGACCACCAAAGCCAGAAGAGAAGACAUCAUUCUCGAAAAGGUCGAAGGACGAAGAAGAGCUCCAAGCAAGAGAUAUUAUUCACUAAAAGCAGCUACCGGGUGAGAAUAAACAACUACCAUUUAAGCUGACAGCUACACGGAUUCACCACUACUUAUGACUUCUUACUCCUGCUCCUAGACAAACUAAGAAGCAAGGAAAGAGGAACUUUAUAUAUAAGAUAUAAGAUCUUUUAUCCGCUACAACUCGAACUCCUAACUCAGGAACUACCCAGCUACCUUAAAGGAAUAAAAACCUGAACCAUUGGCAAGGGGCAAUCACUCAUGACCAACUGCCUUGACGCGGAUACUCCAACAGUUAGUGUUUGGUUUCCGAGACCGAAGUACUGAUACAAAGAAGCUCAUUCAGGAGCGCUGUUCUGUAUUACUUUNGGUAUCUCCGUGAAUAGAGAUAAAGAUAGGGAUCCAUCUAGAUCUUGAUCAUUCACUAUUUCCAUUUUUUUUUUUUAGAUUUUUAUUGUUUUUGAUGACAAGUUUUAAAUCUUAAUGCAGGCAAGGUCGCUUGCGCGCUUGAAACAUCGUUUUUCAAUUAUUACUUGCUGGGUCGGGGGCGUAGACGAGCGAGCAGAGCCCAGGAAAGAGGGAAGGGAAGCCCGUCAUAGAAUAGAGCAGUCGACUAGAAGUAGAAGACUGCUGGCCUGAGAGAAGGCGGCCUCUCUCGGGAAAGAUGGCCCAAUUUUCUUCUUUCUUUUUUUUUUUUUUUUUUUCAGGGCCCAAACGCUAAAAGGUGGGGGAGAAGCAAGCCGAACCUCUGAUCGACCUAGACAUAUAAAAAAUUCUCGGCGUCGAGAGAGAUUUGAGAUUCCGUAAGUAACUCAGUGAGUGCUCUAAGAAGGGCUUGGAAAAAGAAAAUGAAAUACGAACAACCGCGCUGGUCGUAAUAGAUCGACUUUCAUGCUGGAACAAGAACUAGCAUGAAAGUUCCAUUUCAGGGAAGGACGACGUACCAUGAUACUUUCUGUUUUGUCGAGCCUUGCUUUGGUCUCUGGUUUGAUGGUUGUACGUGCUAAAAAUCCGGUACAUUCCGUUUUGUUUUUCAUCCCAGUCUUUUGCGACACUUCAGGUUUACUUCUUUUGUUAGGUCUCGACUUUUUCGCUAUGAUCUUCCCAGUAGUUUAUAUAGGAGCUAUAGCCGUUUUAUUCCUAUUCGUUGUUAUGAUGUUCCAUAUUCAAAUAGCGGAGAUUCACGAAGAAGUAUUGCGCUAUUUACCAGUGAGUGGUAUUAUUGGACUGAUCUUUUGGUGGGAAAUGUUCUUCAUUUUAGAUAAUGAAACCAUUCCAUUACUACCAACCAAAGAAAUACAACCUAUCUGAGAUAUACGGUUUAUGCCGAAAAGGUACGAAGUUGGACUAAUUUGGAAACAUUGGGCAAUUUACUUUAUACCUACUAUUCCGUCUGGUUUUUGGUUUCUAGUCUUAUUUUAUUAGUAGCCAUGAUUGGGGCUAUAGUACUGACUAUGCAUAGGACUACUAAGGUGAAAAGACAGGAUGUAUUCCGACGAAAUGCUAUUGAUUUUAGGAGGACUAUAAUGAGGAGGACGACAGACCCACUCACGAUCUACUAAAAGGGAAGUAGCUUGAUAUUGGUUCAAAUCCAAUUCGUGAGAAGAAGCGUCAAAUGAUUUGGACAGUUGUCGCGCUGGCGGAGCAGGGAGCCUACAGGGAAGAUUGGGGCAAUGAGGAGCUCGACGAGUAUCUGCAGACCCUCUACCCCAUCGACUACAUCUAUCGCUGAACCUUCUUCCGAACUUGCCAACAAGUGCUUAUGAAAGCGGGACUUCAACCUUGCAAUCCGUUGGAGGUGGACUUGAGACCAACGACGGAUUAGAACCUUUCUAGUCCUCUUUAUACUCUUUAACCCAAGCUGUAUACUUUACUGCUGUGCUGUUUAGUGGAAAACCUCUCCUAGUGGAUUUGAAUUUUAAUUCGAUUAAUCGAUUGAUGAGACGAAAUUGACUGCUCUUGAACGAAGGACGAAGGACUCCCCCCGUACCCGUUUCAACUUCACUAGGGACCUCAGCCUCAACUUCCUCCCUCACUUCAGUGGCUUCGAGUUUCUCUCCCUCUCGGUCAAGCUACUUUGUUCCUCAAAUCUGUCUAGGGGAAAGCGUGAGUUAAGCGCCUUUCAUGGGUCCGUCAUGAGGGAUGUUGACCUAGCGUUAAGCGUACCUAGAACGGCCUUCCAGAAGAAAGGAAGAGGAGAGGAAUCCCUAAGCUUCUGCUUUUGAAAUGGAGUCCGCAACUCCUGAACCCGUGGAAGCACCACCAGAGGAACCAAAACCCUCAGCUAAGGAAUGGGGUUUUUCGGCAAGCUGACAAAUAGAUUUAUGUACCUCAGAUUCAGUGGGAUCAGGCGCUUCUGCUUCGAUGAAUGGUCUUUCUCGAGUGGAGAUUCCUACGAAUGGGAUCUCCUCCUAAAGGUUGGCGAGAUGGGGCCGCAUCGAAAUGGCUCGUUCAGACAGAGAUGUAUGUGUCAAAGUAUACCAGCAAGGGUAGGGAACCAGAGUUCCAUUACUAGUAUGAAUAACCGGCUGGAGUAACUCGUACUGGACAUCUGGGAAAGGAUUGAUCUUACUGCUCAUGGAUAGGGAAAGAAUACUAAAAAAAUGACUCUACAAGAACGACCUAUCCCAGGGCUUUGGCCCAUCCCAGCUCCGCCCAGAAUGGCAAUUCCGGGCGUUUUAUGACCAGUCUCCAACUGUUUUUGAACCGGGCCCCGAUGAAACACUUCGUUUUUAAGCUUCAAAAGAAUGCCCGUAGCGGCGAUGCGUUUGCUUCUGAUUGCUCGAGUUGGAAGACCUACAAGGAGCUCGGUUGUACUAAAAAUAAAGAAGAAUCGACCUGUGUCAAUGGAUUCCAAAUCUUUCGUCUCCCGCGGGCCUGCAGCUGCCCUUAAUGCCUCAAUCCUCGUUCUCAACUUCGUCGAGCCUUGUUAGGGAUAUGGCUUUCUAGCCUCUCUAGUGGUCAAAUAGUGACUCGCACUCUUUCCUAUUUCCGGAUUCAAAGCAGCGAGCACCGAAGGAAAGUAGAACUGAACACCAACUGAAAAAAGAAAAUAAGCAAAAAAGAGGAUGCAAACCGCUUUUUUGCAUUUUGCAAUAAGUAAGUUGCUCACCAUCUUCAGUAAGUCAGUUAACAGACUUGAGCAAGUCUUCCUUGGACGAGUUCCUUCAGUUAGAUAGGUGAAGUUAUAUAGGCUAGCGAGCCACAUGAGCCUAGAAGUUGAGUUAGUCUCGUCAACAAUUCCUUGAGUCUCGAACCCAGCUAAUAGCUUGAGCCUAGAAACUCGAGAAAGGCUAACCAAUAGAUAGAUAGAGGGAUAGCGGGCUGGAGUCUAACUCCAACCUAAGUAAAGAUCUGCUCUGAGCUCAGAAGUGGAGGGAGUAGUCUUUUUUUCCGAAUAGCUGUCUUUGUCUUUAUUCCUUGAGCCUAGAAAUAGAAAGCAGCCACUAGAUAGGAUAGUGAGCCUCAUACUGGUCCUAAGGAGUGCCCUUAUUUUAUUCCUUCUCCUCUGCUCUUCGAGCUUCAAUAGAAGACCAGGAGACCAACCUUUAUCUUCGUCCUCGAUUCCUUGUUGGUGCUUGAUUCUCGAGGCUGGGAAGACAGAAGAAGAGGUAAUAUGUAAUAUUCUCUACAGAGUGGGGUGGGAAAUGUUCUCGCCACAGAAGCCAAGUGGUUCACGGCUAAACAGGUACGGAAGGAGUUCUUUCAGUAAGUAAAAGUCGUGUCGUGUUGGGCUGCGAGAAAGGGGAGGUUCGGAGCGGAGGAUCUACCGCGUCCAGUCUAUUCCGAAGGUGCAAGGCAGGUUCCCGAUCAACAAGAGGUGGCAGUCCCCUCGCCCGAUAGAGAUUUCAACUACAUUGAGCCCCGGAUUGGGGGAGAGUUUCUAGUUUCCCGACAGGUCGAUGUACAACCGACAGGUGAAUGCUUUACCAAACUCGUGUACAACUCCUUUCAUGUGUAUUGAUUUCCGCUUAUUACAUGCUUGGUUUCCUAAACGAUUUCUCCACAGCACCCCCUGACCAAACAAAAAACCAGAAAGCCAAGAUCUAUAUAAAUAUAAAGCGAGGGAAAGAGUACAGAUGUGCAGCAGAGAAGGAAGAAAGACGAAUGCUAUGAGAGCUUGGACAGAAUAAGGUCUAGGGGAGACCGCCCAUUUAUCACAUGUGAGGGGAAGACUAGUAAAAGAUUCGAGCUGUAAACUCGCAAUAUAGACAGAAAAAAAAUAUUGAUACCAACCCAACAAACAAGGUACUAUGCCUUUCUCUUACAGCUAAGGCAUGGUACCUAAAAUCGGUAGUUUCACUCAAACUAGUACUUUUACUCGGCUUUGUCUGUAGAAACUUGGCUUACGUGAUAGGGGCCCAGAAAGGGCAUUUUAUAAUACAAAAAGAGCAGGUUACACCAACGUACAGUGCUCGAUCAACUAGAUUUACUGCUCGAACUGAGCAGAAAGCGCUCUUAACUACAUGACUCUGCAAUAAGAUUUCAACCUCACGGACAAGGGGCCUUCACCCGAAAGUCCCUGCGCUGUUAACCCACGAAUAAAUGAAAUGCCGAUAUCGCUCCCUUCAUGAAAAGCACUUUAGAGCCCCGGUGCUAAAAAAGGUGCUAAUUCAGUCUGAUCAGUGAUAGAGCGCAAAUGACCCUCUUUGGGGUGGGGUAUAAGCAUGCAGGCGACUCACGUGUAAAUAUAGGUCCUGUCUUUAUUUCCAUUAUUUCAUUUCUACGAUUUAAGCUGGCUGAACAGAAGAUAGAAGAUUACGAUUUAGAGUCUAAGGGAGUUUCGCCAUUUGAGUGAGUUCGGUUCCUCUAGGUAGGGCCGAAGCAAGGAUGAUCCUAUCGACCCAUUCCAACUUGAAGCUCUCUCCUGUCAUGCCGGAGUAUGGGGCUUAAACAGUAACUAUCAUUUUAAGAUAGAAACAAGGGAUUUUCAUUGAGAAUAUCGAGACUAGAGGACUUCGCGAAGUGAAGAACUACUGAACCUGAACCAGAACCAGAAUGGCGUAGUGUAAGUUAGUAAUGUAAUUGAGUGCCGAUCGCUUUCAAGCAAAAUCGUAAACAAAGGGAGAAAGUGAUCCUAGUUUCAAAAGGAAAUAGCAGCGUACAUUACCCUAGAGAGAUUGAAACCUGGCGAACCCGAAGAUGACGAAUCCGAAGAGCCGGAGAGGAGGUCUGUUUCAAAUAGCAACAGAAAGACGUAAAAUGCCUGCUAAUGGGAGCGACCCGGUCCAGAUUAUGAAGCUGAUCCAGCCAGGCUUGGAAGAAAUGCAAUAUAGAAAGACUCACACGAAUGGGGCUUCGGUCGAUAGUCUUUCUCUUCUGUUUCGCCUUGGAAUGCCUAUUUACAAGAGGUUGAGUCCUGGGUACCACUUUGAGGAAGGUUAUUUAUGUUUACAACAUUCUUUUCUUCUCUGCUCUAACCUUGAGCCGGAGGCGAGGACCAUUGAGUGGAUAUUCCAUAUCUGCCUGAACGACUGACCCUAGCACCACAGCUGACCUAGAGGAGAGAAGCAGAUAUCAGCCUACCCACAAUCUUCAUCUGGACUGGAUGGGCUUGCCAUCCUGAAAGAAAAGAGCUCAUUCCCUAAUUCACUGAACGAGACUAUUGAAAGGAAAGGAAUUGUUUCUCCGUGGGGCGGAUACAUCUUGUGUUUGAGACAUGAAGACAGAGAGUUGGAAAGAUCUAUUUCAGUAGUCAACCCCUCUUCGAGACUACUAGCAAGGUGCGAAGCACCGGUGCUCAUUCUCGAUUAGCCGAAUGAGGAUGUCGUACAUGCUUUCUUAAGAAAAGGAAAAUAAUCGGUUGUUGUGUCGAAUCAAUGGCAUCGAAUGCAAGCUGUGACUGAACUGCCUUACUGUCCGAGGAGGGUAAAUCAAUAGGAAUAGGCAGAGAAUGCCCAAUAGGUCUUUGGCUGUUUUCUCAUCUAUAGAAUCUGCUGUGGUUGAGGAUGAAAAUAUGAAUUAGAAUCUUCCUCAAUUCCUUUUGAAUAAGGAGGGCAUGGUUGACGAGACUUUCUUCUGACUCUCACGUAGAAGAGAAGGGGUGCCUUACUGGAUGAAAGACGUAGAAGGAAUGCCUUACUGGAUUCAAUUCAAUAUACACCUUCUGUUCCCAGGUCUAGCCUUUUCGCGGUAUCGUAUCCCGCUGAUGAGUAAAUGUACAAAAAGGCUUCCGAACCUGGUUGCGUAGCUUGGUCGCCUUCGCCAACAUGUAGUAAUAGGUCUUUCUCUUUCCGGUUUUUUUCAUGUAUCAAUCAAAAAGGGUGCUUUCUAUGAAAAAAUUCAAAAUAUGAAAUUGAACUAGCACUAACAACGGGAAGAGCAAACUGCUUUGAGCUCAUAUUCAAGCGGCUACAAAACAACUGAUUUGGUAAUUGAAUCGGGUGUGGACAUAGCAAACCUCUUCAUUAGAGAGAAGCCCUUUUACCUGUUUGUAUGGAGAAAAGAAAGUUGGAAGAACUAAAUAAAGGAACGAACUCACUAGAAAGCCGAGAAACUAAACUACCAGGCAAGGAAGCUCAUGCUUAGUCCUAUUUGGAAAUCCAUUUUGUCUAAAUCUAUAGAGAAGACGAGCAGACGAUAAGAAAAAGGAUGUUGCGUCUUCUAGAUAUAUAUGAAUGACCACUUUGGUCUAAAUUCUAGAGGUUGCUCCUCCGUCGUCUACCAUACAUAAUUACUGAGCAACCUGCCUUAAUGAAAGGAGAUCCCUUCUGACUUACCUGUCCUUGCCGCUAUCUGACUGACAAAGAGAGCAAGAGCAGACGAGAAGCUACAACCAACCGAUAGAUCUUCCGUCUUGUCUUAGAGUAGGAACUCAAUUAGCCUAGCUACAUUACAGGCUUGAUCGAUAUAAUGAAUUCUAUCUUCUUUGUUCGAACCGCAAGCAGGAGCGGAGCCACAUCUAGCUCUAUGAAUCAAACUCUUCCUUAGACCAAAGAAACUUCCCUUUCGACUAGUUACCUGUAUGGAGCAAGGCCCAUCCAAGCGUGGUUUUCUAUUAGUAUUAGAAAGAAAUAGCUGGCUCCUUCUCAUGCACAAAUCUACCCGUAGCAUAGACUGGAUCGAUCACCACAUCUGCAUCUCUCUCCAGGGAAAGCUGAAACUAACUAGUAACUUAAAGUUAAAGUAAAGAAUGGAGUAGCCCAUAGUUCUCCUCGAGUAGUGAAAAACUAUAGUGAUAGUACGCCCGUAUAGCUCACUGAAGAAGAAGACCUUAUAUAAGAAGCAGUUGAAUCCGAACCAGCCCACCCACCAGCACUAGUAGCGGAUUACCCACCAGGCGCUUCAUAUCCAUAUGAAGUUUAUGCCGCAGCAGAUCGAAAUCAAGGCCUAUCUGCAUAAGGUCAAAUCAAAAAAAAGCAUCGGUUGAAAGAGGGUCAGAUCUGACCCCGGUUAGACUUAAAUAGUAAGAAAGAUGUUCAUUAUAGAAACCUCCUCUACUCAAAGCGAGCGCUAAACUAGAUUCUUAUCAAAGCAAUGGGCGGCACAGGAGGCAGAAGAAAAAGUAGAAGCAGAAGCUAUUCCUGUUCCUGACUCCUUUCCUUAAUUGAGUAUAGGUAUAGGUGGUAACUGGCCUUCACUCAAGAUGCAAUGUCUGACAUUCCCUGGUAUAGUCUAGUAUACCAGUUUAGUAUACCCUAAACUCAUUAUAGUCAUAUACUUUGAGAGCUAUACAUUCCCUUCUUGCUAGAUAUUUUAUUUUGACUGAGAGUAGUCGCGUAGACUGGACUACGGGAAAUUAUAUAGCACUUAGAUCUACCUACCUGACCAACCAAAUUCAUUCAUUUCCCUCGUGAAAAGGAGUAAAUCAAGAUUAAGACUGCCAAUCGAGGUACUGACUAAAUGCGUGCCAGUGGAAAGAUUGACUGUGACAGAAAUGCUCCUUCCUUUACGACAGCAGAGAGUGAGCCGCAAGAAGUCCUGCAUACUGCCAAAGAGCUGCAUGCCGCAAAAGAAAGACAAAUAGAAAGCUUCGAACUUUCUUGGAGACCAAGAAAUCCCUUCCCGCAGGUGCAAGUGAGGGAGGGUAAACUCUGACUGUGACAGAAAUGCCGCUACCUCUGCUACUUGACGCUCCCAGGGCGAAUGAAUCGUUUUGCCAUAUAGACUAUCAGCUUAUUCCUUGAAUUGGGACGGGGCCCNAAGGGUCGCUCCUUCCAUUUUUAUCUAUCAUAUCCUAGAUAACUUACUGCACUUCCCCGUGAUGGCUAACCUCCUUCUUUAUUUCGGGGCUUGGCGUAGGGGCAAUGGCUUUACAGGCGUAGAAACUUUUCUCCGGGUAUUGUUUCUGUUGCAAGCAAGGGGUUAGGCUCGAAGCAACUAGGCUAUCAGGGAUCCACGGCCUUUCUUCCGUUUCUCAAUAUCAACUCCCGAUUCUCGCUCCAUUUAUAUCUAUAUUGAUAUAAACAAGUAUUUCGUUUCGCGCUCGUACGUUCAAUUUAAUCACUUCGUAACCUUUACUUGAUCACUGGACGGCUUUACCUUUGCUUUCAAUCUGUCUUGUGUCACGUAAGCAAAACUCACUUGUUGGCUUACACAACUAGGCGUUAGGAGCGUAGAAGCGAGAGUGGGGUAAAACGAGUUUAAUAUACUUUACACGAGAGGUCAAGAGGCGGUGCCCGUAUGGUUACCACCUAAAGCGGCUCUAGACUUUCCACCCAGGCGUAAAAACGGUUAUUGACAAAACUUAACGAUUAAGCUUUGCAUGGGAAGCUGCCACCUGUCUGUAAUAGGAACCGAGUCGCUAAAAGCAGGAGUUUCAUCAGCAUCGAGUUCUUGAGCCCACGGAACGGGGAGUGUUAACGAGUCACUAACCCGUAGUGCGUAAGAGUCACGUACCCCUUAGUCUGGGUAAAGCUUCCUAAACCUCGCGAUUCGACCGUUGGAGCUGAGUCAAUCUUGCCAAAUUGGCAACUUGAAUGUCUGGGUCUGUCCUAUAGAAUUGCUCAUGGAACUUGCUUUCCAGAUCGUACCAACUGUUAAUAGAGUUUGGAGGGAUGUUCAUAUACCAGGGGAAGGCCGAUUUAGUAAGAGAGUUGGCAAAGAGCCUCAACUUGAGGUAGUCCUUGGACCUAGCUUCCCCGCACUGGACCGAGAACCGAGCUAUAUGCUCAAUAGUCGACUUCUUCUCCUCACCGGAAAAGAGAACAAACUCAGGCACCUUAUACCCCUUUGGAAACUGAUGAACUCGGUCGAUCCAAUCAGGGUAUGCUUUCCUAGCCGUCGGCCUCAGAUGGACGAGACAAAGAACGCAACUCAGGGGGCGAGAACUCAGAGAGGUGGAGGUCCGGACAAGGCUAGAGCCAAGCAGAGGGAUGGAGUAGGGGACGGUUGGUGAAAGUAGGCACGAGUGGAGAGGCAGGUGAGGAAGCGCAGGUGUAAAAGUCGAGUCUAGUAUUUUUGCUUUCUUUCGUAGGCGAGUGAGAAGCGAGAGUGCAGGCUCGCCCCGAAAGCGAGCCGGGAGCGAUCAAAGGCGAUAAACGCUUGAUUGUAUUCUUGACUGAUUCAAUUGAUAACGAGAGAUAAAGGUACCCCGACCAUGCCCAAAGGGGUUUAAUAACUAGUAGUGGCGUGCUGAACUGAAAAGUACGGUGAAGCUUUCGGAGCGUAGUGAGGUGAGCCAGUGCCUGUUGGUGGUCAAGUCCCAGUGGAAGUGGAAGUUGUUGGGCGUUCAGGUUGCAAAGGAAGUUGGUGGGCUAACGGUGGUCCAGGUAAGGUAGGUGGGGAAGGCUCGCCACGAGAUCGACCGAUAGCUUUGACCCAACCCCGGAAGCGGAAGUGCCAGAGAGACGAUCUUUGUGAGGCAGAGUGACAUUCCAAGGUCAGGUAUAAGGUGCUACGGGAACGAUGUCUCAAAGGUCAGUGCCAAGGGCUCAACGCGGAAGCAAUCCGCUGCUCACAGGGACCGUGCGGGCUGACGCUCUUCUCUCUCAGGCAAAGAAAUGUGAUUUUCACUUUCGCUGGUUCAAGGUAGGCUGCUUAAGCAGAGGUUGUUGUUGUUGUUGGCGUGAGUGAAGGCGUUCCUUCCGGUGGGCAUGACGAAGCUAAGCUGGAACUAAUUACGAAAGCAUAAUCGUUUUCAAGGCUAGGGAGUGAAUUCAACUUUAGACAAGUCUAGCAAAGCAGCUCAUCUGGUAACACGGUUAUCCGUCCAACCUCUAUCAAUCGGUCUUUCCUCUUUCAAUCGCUUGAAUCGGUCCAACCGGUAAUCUCGAAUCUCUAACAAUCGCAUCUGUCUGACUGAUGGGAGAGAUCGGCUCUAUGGCCGCUUUUCCUUAAACUUCAGCCCUCUUUAAGCUCUCUUCUAGGGAAUUUGCUUGGUCUAGUAACAAGUCUCGAUAAGCUGUCGCAAUCAGGCAAUUCGUUAAAAAAGAUAUCUUAUCGAUCUGUCUUUCAAUACUUCCUAUCUUCCUGCUGGGGAAUCAGUAUCUGUUGCAAUCGCUCAUUUGUUCUGUUCUGUCGCAACUCUCGCAUCUGGAAUACGGGAAAAUCUUCCCAUAUUAACCUUUUUUGUAAAUAUCUCUUCUAUUGCUUGUUAGCAUUGGCUAUCGGUCAAUUUCGAUUCCUUUCUUUAUAAAUAUUUUGUCUCCUUCAUUGAUGACUAUUCUAGAGUGACUUUCAUCUAUCUUAUGAAAUCUAAGAAUGAAGUUCCUUAGCACAAGCGCUAAGCAAUAAUAAUUCCUUUUAUUUUCCGGUUAUUUCAUAAUAUGAUAAAAAACUCAGUGUGGUAUAAAUGUUAAGAUUUUGAGAUCUGACUGAAUUUGAAAGAAAAAAAGAAAGGGGAGAAUAGUUCUCCAAGAACUUUCAAGCUUAUCUGCAGAAACAAGGGAUUGACUCUCAAACUACCUGCCCAUAUACCCCCAAGAAUGGAGUAGCUGAGCGAAAAAAUCGGCAUCUUUGGAGGUUACCCGUGCUCUUCUCACCGAGAUGAAGGUAGCUAAUACUGGUAAGAAGCUGUCUUAACUGCAUGUUAUUUGAUUAAUCGUAUGUCCGUUCUAAGUGGUAAAUCUCCUAUUCAAGUGUUGAAACCUGACUCACCCCUGUCUUUCCUAUUUCUCUUCGUGUUUUUGGUUGUGUUUGCUUUGUUCAUGACUUGAGUCCUCUCAGAAACAAACUUGAUUAUAAGUCUUUCAAAUGUGUCUUUGUUUGGUAUUCUAGCUCUCAGAAGGGCUAGAAGUGUUAUCACCCCAAAACAAAUAAAAGAUUUGUGUCCAUGGAUGUCAUCACUUUCUUUGAAAAUCUUUCUUAUUUCUUUUCUCUGAAAAUUGUAGUACUCUUUCGGAUCCCUACUCUCCUCAGGGGGAGUAUGGAGGUCUGGAGGAGAGUAGUGUUCUUCCUGUCGUCAGUUAAAAUAUUCCCAUGUCUAAAGUGGAAAAUUAUAUGGAUUCGAAAGAGGGGGAGUCUCAAAGUAGUGAGCAGCUUGGUCAGCAAACCACGGAAUUAAAGACGUAUGUGAAGAAGAGGAAGAAAAUUUGUCAAAUCAACAAUCCAUCCCAAGACUCCUCCUUGGAUCCAGGUAUUCCUCUCUUCCUCCUUCUGUUGUUUCUGAUCUGUAUUUACCUAUUGCCUUGAGGAAAGAAAAGAGAUAUUGUACUUCUCGCCUAUUAAUAACUUUGUGUCCUAUCAAGGCUUCCUUAGCACAAGGCUAAGCGAUAAUAAUUCCUUCUCUUAUAAGCUUUCGUUUCAGCGAUUUUAUUCCAACCAAGAUACCCUCCCAAUUUAAAAUAAGCCCUCAAUCAUCCUCAGUGGAAGAAAGCUAUGAUAGAAGAAAUGGAGGCUCUAAAGAAGAACGACACUUGGGAACUGAUCACGUUACCAAGAGGCAAACGUACGGUUGGCUGCAGCAAUCAAACUAAAAGCGCUAACGAACAAGCAAGGGAUUCGGGAUUCACUCCAACAGAAGAAAGCCCAGAUAUCGAAUCAGAAUUGAGCACUCGUACUUCGCUACCUUUCUCCGAGUCGACUAAUCAGAUUAACUGAUUGCGUCUGCUAGAGAUGCUUUACCUAAAAAUGACUUUCAAGUGGGGAGUGAAUGAAAGUCGAUAUCGAAAUCCUAGGCUCAAAAAAGCCACAAAUUUUUCGAUCCUUCAGGCCGUAAUCACCCGAUUGAAGAGGGCCAAGGGAGGAGACAAGAUCUGAUGAGUGCGAACGGGAGCACCAAUAUGCUAGAGACCCAUACAGAUGGAUGCACGACGGAAAAGCCAGCUGUUGACCAGCUGGAUUAAAAGAGCUCUUCUUCGUCUUUCCGGCCCCCACUCGUACUGAUACUGAUUGUGCUUUCCAUGUUUGCUUUGCAAUAUUUUGUAUUCUUUUGAGAUAGCAUUUGGUCUUACAAAAAAAAGUAAGUUUUUUCAUUGAUUGCGGAUUGCGUUUCUACGCUUUCAAAAAAGUAAGUUUUUUGGGAUGUUAAUGUCCUAAACAAUGAACUCUUUGACAUUACAGUUUUCGAAUUAAAGGCCAAUCUCUUAGAGGGACUAGUGAAUUGUUAAUGAGUGAGCCAACUGAUCGGCUCACUCAAAUAUUAUCGAUUCCCCCUUUGCUGAACCUGACCGUGUCAUAAGGUCCGAGGCUCUUGAAUUCAUCAACUACUUUAUGAGUCGUUUCCAGAUUCAAGAAGACGCGGCGCGAUCCCCUUUUGAAAGAAGGUUGGUGGUAUCCAUGUUAAACUUAUGGAUCCAAGAUGCCCAGCAAAACGGGCAUCUCUCCGCCGUGUAUACUGCCUUCGUGGCGUUAUUUCCUUGGUUAAAUCUUUUCAUUAUUCAUUAAUAGUAAUAGUAGCGGCAUUCUCCCUUAACUCUGUUAAUGUUAAUUUGAAUGAAAUCAUGGAAUUUUCUCCAGAGCUGCGGAAACUAACCACUCUAUUAGAAAGUCGAAUUAGCCACUUUUACACGAAUUUUCAAGUGGAUGAGAUCGGUCGAGUGGUCUCAGUUGGAGAUGGGAUUGCACGUGGUUUAUGGAUUGAACGAAAUUCAAGCUGGGGAAAAUGGUUGAAUUUGCCAGCGGUGUGAAAGGGAUAGCCUUAAUCUUGAAAAUGAGAAUGUAGGGAUUGUUGUCUUUGGUAGUGAUACCGCUAUUAAAGAAGGAGAUCUUGUCAAGCGCACUGGCUCUAUUGUGGAUGUUCCCCGGGAAAGGCUAUGCUAGGGCGUGUGGUCGACGCGUUGGGAGUCCCUAUUGAUGGAAGAGGGGCUCUAAGCGAUCACGAGCGAAGACGUGUCGAAGUGAAAGCCCCAGGGAUUAUUGAACGUAAAUCUGUGCACGAGCCCAUGCAAACGGGCUUAAAAGCGGUAGAUAGUUCUCGUUCCUAUAGGCCGUGGUCAACGAGAACUUAUAAUCGGGGACCGACAACUGGAAAAAACUGCUAUUGCUAUCGAUACCAUAUUAAACCAAAAGGAAAUGAACUCAAGGGCCACCUCUGAGAGUGAGACAUUGUAUUGUGUCUAUGUAGCGGUUGGACAAAAACGCUCAACUGUAGCACAAUUAGUUCAAAAUUCUUUCAGAAGGAAUGCUUUGGAAUAUUCCAUUUCUUGUAGCAGCCACCGCCUCGGAUCCAGCUCCUCUGCAAUUUCUGGCCCAUAUUCUGGGUGUGCCAUGGGGGAAUAUUUCCGCGAUAAUGGAAUGCACGCAUUAAUAAUCUAUGAUGAUCUUUAGUAAACAGGCCGUGGCAUAUCGACAAAUGUCAUUAUGUUACGCCGACCCCAGGCCGUGAGGCUUUCCCAGGCGAUGUUUUCUAUUUACAUUCCCGUCUAUUAGAAAGAGCCGCGAAAACGAUCGGACCAGACAGGUGCAGGUAGCUUUGACCGCCUUACCGUCAUUGAAAACACAAGCUGGAGAUGUAUCGGCUUAUAUUCCUACAAAUGUUAUUUCAAUUACUGACGGACAAAUUUGUUUGGAAACAGAGCUCUUUUAUCGCGGAAUUAGACCCGCUAUUAACGUCGGCUUAUCUGUCAGUCGCGUUGGCUCUGCCGCUCAGUUGAAAGCUAUGAAAAAAGUCUGCGGUAGUUUAAAACUGGAGUUGGCACAAUAUCGCGAAGUGGCCGCCUUUGCUCAAUUUGGGUCAGACCUUGAUGCUGCGACUCAGGCAUUACUCAAUAGAGGUGCAAGGCUUACAGAAGUACUGAAACAGCCGCAAUAUGCGCCGCUUCCAAUUUCAAAACAAAUUCUAGUACUUUAUGCAGCUGUUAAUGGGUUCUGUGAUCGAAUGCCACUAGAAAAAAUUGCACAAUAUGAGAAAGCCAUUCUAAGUAGUAUAACCCCGGAUUUACUACAAGCACUUUUAGGGGGGUUAACUAACGAAAGAAAGAUGGAAUUAGAAGCUUUCUUAAAAGAAAGCGCUUUGCCUUACCUAUGAUGUAAGGCAAGGUCGCUCGCGACUGACAAUCAAAUUUCCCUUUUCUUCUUUA